UAGGGAAUAUUGGGCAAUGGACGGAAGUCUGACCCAGCCAUGCCGCGUGCAGGAAGAAGGCGCUCAGCGUUGUAAACUGCUUUUAUCGGGGAAGAACGGCAGUCCUGCGGGAUUGUGUGACGGUACUCGAGGAAUAAGCACCGGCUAACUCCGUGCCAGCAGCCGCGGUAAGACGAAGGAUGCAAGCGUUAUCCGGAUUCAUUGGGUUUAAAGGGAGCGUAGGUGGCCUUAUAAGUCAGUGGUGAAAUCUCUUCGCUUAACGAAGAUAUUGCCAUUGAUACUGUAAGGCUUGAGUAUAGUUGCCGUUGGCGGAAUAUGUCAUGUAGCGGUGAAAUGCUUAGAUAUGACAUAGAACACCAAUUGCGAAGGCAGCUGGCUACGCAUAUAUUGACACUGAGGCACGAAAGCGUGGGGAUCAAACA
Molecule: ribosomal RNA, 422 nt
Filed under: uncultured bacterium
Lineage: Bacteria
Description: bacterial SSU rRNA
Rfam family: Bacterial small subunit ribosomal RNA
Source: RNAcentral